Molecule: non-coding RNA, 70 nt
Organism: Dipodomys ordii (Ord's kangaroo rat)
Lineage: Eukaryota; Metazoa; Chordata; Mammalia; Rodentia; Heteromyidae
Source: Rfam
GGGAAUGUGGCUCAGUGGUAGAGUGCUUGCCUCACAUGCAAGAGGCUCUGGGUUCGAUUCCUCAGCACUA